Non-coding RNA from Odocoileus virginianus texanus, 4117 nucleotides. NCBI's taxonomy places the organism in Eukaryota, Metazoa, Chordata, Mammalia, Artiodactyla, Cervidae. The record is from RefSeq and is a predicted model, not a curated record.
GUCAGCCUCAUCCUCUUGGAACCAUUUGUCCAAAGCAUCCCCUUGUUCCUGGUGACAAAUUCUGACCAAGUCCUCCCCAAUCUAAACGCCUGGCAAGGAAAAAACAACAGCCCGAGGCCACCUUGCCCUCAGUGGAGCUUCAGGCAAAGCCACAUGCAUGAGGAGAGGCAUCUCCUUGUUUAAUAUCUGCUCGGCCGCCCAGGAUCAUGAAACCAUAGUGCCAGCUCCAAACCCUGAGCCAGAGCCAAGCAGGAAUGGAAAGAAAUGAAGGAGUGGGCAGAACCACGGGCUUCCGCUGUGCAGACGUCCCUGUGGGCCAGGCCACUGCCCUUCCUCCUCAUGCCCGCAAGUGCUGACACAUGCCAUGGUCUGCGUGCCAUUCUCUGGGAGCCUCCUGUGGAAAGGCGCACUGCAGGUAAUGGUGUCGCAUCAACUUCUGGGAGCGCUAAAGCUGAGUUGUGGCCUAAUGUGUUUUUAGGCAACUCAUUUCUGCAGCAGUGGCCACUGCCUUCUGGUCCCCGCGUCUUGCACAACCUUCCAAAGCGCCAAUGGACCUCCCCACAGCCUCGGUGUCAGGUGAAACUACGUUUCAGAUGGAUGUGCAGCUAAGACCCUGAGAAGCAAACUAGGGGAGAGCGGGAGGGUCCUGAUAUACUGCUGGAAGUCUGCAGACCCCUGUCCUUGCUUCCAAACAAAGACAAGCACAUGUAGCAUAGUUGUCCUGCGCCCCGCGGGGCAAGCGGCUUUCCUUCGGGAGCCCUCUCUGCACGACAGCUGCUCCCGGGCAAUUGCAGCUGUUGAGCUCCCCCUCCAAAGGUUCAGCCAUCCAGCCAGUCCACGGAGAGAGACGGUGACCCCCAGUUUCUCACCUAAUGAAUAUCUAGUAGCAGAUACACAUUGAGCGCCCGUUUUAUGCUGAACACGGGACCAGAGACAAGUUACCAGAGAGAAAAAGCUGUGCUCCCCACCUCCACGUCCUAAAAGACUCUGACAGCCUAGGUAACAAUUUACACCUCUUCCCAACUCUGCGUUCAGAAGAUGUCACGGGGGCAGCUUGAAAUCAGUCAUGUGGGGGAAUUUACAGCACAGAAGCGGGCAACCACUUCAGGCCUGGGUUUUGUUAUUGCUGCUUUGGUUUCUGUGGUGUGCUUUUGUACGUGUGUGUGUUUGAGGUGGUUUGCCAGCACAUCACUAUACAGCAACAGUGCGACUGAAUAUCUAGGACAGAAAAGCACAGUCUUCUGCCUUAAGGGAUGGGGUAAGGCUUUUACACAGGAGAGGGCAUACUGUGUGUGCAUUUCAAGCUGAGUAAGAUUUCACCAGGCAGCAAAAGAGGAACAAAGAAUUCCAGAAAGAAUAACCUGAGUCAAGGCACAGACGUUUCUAAUUCAAAAGGCUCUAGAGAUUCAGAGAAGGAAACCAAUACAGUCUGAUGUGCUGCCCAGGGAAGGCUGCUGCUGCUAAGUCACAUCAGUCAUGUCUGACUCAGUGUGACCCCAUAGAUGGCAGCCCAUCAGGGCUCCUUUGUCCCUGGGAUUCUCCAGGCGAGAGUACUGGAGUGGAUUGCCUUGCCUGCUCCACCAGGGAAGGCAAUUGAGCUUUAAAGAAUAGAUAGGAUGGGUCUUUGGCAGAUGAGGCGUGGGGAUGGAUAGGGAGGAAGGACAUGAGGAUGGAGCAAACGUCGCAGGUCAGGUAAGAAAAGGGAGAUCUGGAAUUAGGUCCUUGCAGUCAGGAAAAAUUAGGUCCUUGUCAUCAGGAAAAAUGAAAUUGAUAGUCAUUUUUCUGUAUCUGCCUCCAUUUUCCUUUUUUCCUUGAGACCAUUUCAAUCCAUCUCUGUCAACACAUGUCUGCCUCCAAUCCCUCUUUAUUUCAGGAGCCCAUCCUCUCUAGAUAUUCCCAUGAAACUCCUUUUCUCUAUCAACCAUCUACAUGCUAGUAUGAAUUUCAAUCAGUUAUCCACAUGCUCUGAUAAAUUGCAGCUAACUUUCUGCCUCUAUGUGUGACACAUGCAUUUAAAUCUCUAACUGGGCACUUUCUUAGGUGCUUCCCUGCAAGUGACAAGAUAAAACCCAGUCUGAUCAGCAUGGAGCUGGGUAGCUCAGCUUAGGAAGGAAAGACUGAUACCUCUCUCUUCUAUCCUUCCAAUCCUUGGAGUCCCCAUGGUAGAUGUUACACGUAAAGGAGAACAGUGAGUGAAGCUGCACAGAAAAACCAUAGCUUCCAUGUGUCUGCACAUCAUAAAGACAGCAAGGAGCUAUCUCCAGUUCAGACUCUGAUGUUAUCAGUAUCAUCCCCAGGUGAGAAACUCCUUACUUAAAAAGCACUACUUAUUCCCUUCCUUUUCCCCAAUAACACAAAUAGCAGAGAAAUUCUGUUUUUAUGGUUUAAAAAUUAGCACAAAAGACCGUCACAUUAAAAUGGCUGAAAUCCAGAACACUGGCAACAUGAAAUGCGGGUGAGGAUGUGGAGUGACAGGAAUUCUCAUUUGUGGCUGGUGGGGAUGCAAAAUGACACAGCCACUUUGGAAGACAGUUUGGCAGUUUCUUACAAGGCUAAACAUACCCCUACCACACAAUCCAAUGUUUUCAGGGUUUGAUGAGAACAUUUUUCUACAGCAGUGGUUCUCCAAGAGCAAGCCUCAGACCCAGAGCAUGAGAGUCACCUGGAAACAUAUUAGAAAUGCAAAUCAUCAGGGCCCCCCACCCCGACAGACCUACUUAAUCAGAAACCCAUGGUGGGGGUGGCAGGCAGGGAAUAGAGCAAUCUGUGUUUCGACAGAUUUUCAGGGGCCUCUGAUGAAAAUUAAACUUAGGUCACCGGCCCUUGACGCUUCCAGCUCAGACGUGUGGUCCAUGGACCUGCAGCACCCACACUGCCUGGGAGCUUGUGAGAAACACGAAAUCUCAAGCCUCACCUCCAGCCCCACUGAGUCAGCAUCUGCAUUUUAACAAGACUACUGAGGAGACUUGACAGGCUCAAAAUUGAGAAGUGCCCUUCUAGAGCACUUUGGAAAAAAGGUGCCUUCCAUUAGGAAACUCAUCAAGGGCUGUGAAUGAUCGAAACGGUCCCACAUUCCUACCACUUCUUCCACCAAGGGAUGAUAUCUAUGUCCCAUUCACUUGAAGGCAUUGGCCAGUGACACAGUUCCAUUGAUAGAUAUGGCUGUGUUGAUGCUGUCUAUGCUCCCAGGCUAUUGUAAAGUCAUUAGCCUCCAACUAAUAAAAAGAAAUGAAAAAAAAAAAAAAAAGACCUGAGGUUUCUGCCUUCAUCGCUGAGAAUAGUGUCCUGUGGGACUCAGUCAACACACUGUCAGAAGCCCCUGGAGAUGCCGGGAUGAGGAGGGGAACUAAGACUGUCUGAUUCCCACGCGCCCUGGCUCUCUUCUGAUAGCCCAUCGGCAGCCAUGGGAAUAAGCCAUGGAGCAUGUCCCAACCCUGAUGAACCCACAGGAGCAGAAGACACCCCACUGAAGUCGUUCACCCCCACAGACUUGCAGCAGGUCUUUCUUACUGGCAUCACUACAGAGGCUAGUGGGUCUACACCCUCCACUCUGUGCUAAACACUCGAGGGUAUAUGAUGUGGAAGUGCAGACAGCACACGAUCAACAAGCAAAGGAGUACACUGGCCGUGUGUCUGCCACCUGGUACCCUAUGCAGACGUCCCCCGGAGGGGGAGCAUCUCCACGGUAUGCAUGUGGCACCAGGAGAGAAAGCGCAGGUGUAGAGUCACAGGAAAAGCCAGGAAGUCUGGUGAGAUGUCUGUUCCAGCCACUUGCUGAGCCCAGUAUGGCCAGAGGAAUGCCCCUCAAGGCCACCCACCCGGCUCUGUUCAGCUUCUAUGGUCAACCACCAACCGCUACUUAGGAGUCAACUGAGGAGUGUGAAAUAAAUGAUGAUUUAUUUACAAAGCCUCCAAGACUUUAGAGCUAUUUGUUAUAUAGCAGAAUCCCAGCAAAAGCCUAGCACAGUCAAGAAAUUAAACAUUUCCACAAUGAAUUCAGAGUGUUAAGGAUGCCAGGAACUAAAAAGGACUGAAUGUGAAGCAGCUGAACUGGGGUGGAUGAACCUAGAGCCUAUUAUACAGAAUAAAGUCAGUCAGAAAGAGAAAAAAGUAUCAU